Pimephales promelas (fathead minnow) is the source of this 822-nucleotide non-coding RNA. NCBI's taxonomy places the organism in Eukaryota, Metazoa, Chordata, Actinopteri, Cypriniformes, Leuciscidae. The record is from RefSeq and is a predicted model, not a curated record.
AAAAAAAAAAAAAAAGGGGGGGGGACCCAACCACCAAUAACACUUGGCUGUGUCAGGUCACAAACAGACUAGGGGAGCUUGGUUUGGAGGUGCCUGUUGUGGUCCCCCGGUGGAAAAACUCAAUGUAGCCCAGAAGUAUAACGAUGGGGGUUGGGUGUCACUGAAGGUGGUGGAGGGGAAUCGUGUUAUUGAAUCGAGGGGAAACAUCUGUGUCUGGGGGGCCUGUUGGUUGCGCUCACUGGCAGUUCUGGGUCAGCCCUCUGACCCAGAGUUUAGAGCAGAUGUGCAAUAAAAAUAAAAUUAAAUGUAUUCUUAUUGUCAUAUUGCUAUUGUCACUACUGUUGUAGAUUGCUAUAGCCUAUAUUACUAUUAUUGUCAUGAAUAUUAUCAUUAUAAAUACUAUCAUUGAUACUGCCACCACUAACACUAAUACGGAUACAUGUAUAUAUGUAUAUAUAUAUAUAUAUGUGUGUAUAUAUGUAUGUAUAUAUAUAUAUAUAUAUAUAUAUAUAUGUAUAUGUUUCUUUGUGUUUGUCAAAGUCUCUAUCAUAUCCUCUACAACUAUUCAGAUACUACCGAAUUGCAUCACAGAAAGGAUCUCGUGUGCCUACAUAUACCACUUUGUCGAUAACUGUGUGGGGCUGUUGUGAGUUUUUCUGUUCUCUGUUGUUUUUGUUUUUUUUUUGUUGUUGUUUUUUUUUGUUUUUUUGUUUCCCCUUUCCUACUUCUGUAUUGUAGAUGUGUCUCACUGAAUCUUACCUGGUAUGUGUUACUGUUUUGUUAACCUGCAAUAAAAAAAAAAAAAAAAAAAAAAAAAAAAAA